UCGGGGAUGCUAUUGCAUACAGGACAUUGUGGUGUUAAGGCAUGUACCUGGGACUGCGAAUCUACCCGAAGUCCAACUCCGAUUGUGGCUUUGGAUAUUGCCCAUAGCGGGUGAGAGGCCCGUACGGGUAGAUUCUUGUUGUUAUGCAGUCCUCAGAUGUGCGUGCUUUCGAGUCGGAUUGCUUGAGAAUGCAGUCCAAAGUGGGUGGUAAACUCCAUCCAAGGCUAAAUACUGGCACGAGUCCGAUAGUAGACAAGUACCGUGAGGGAAAGUUGAAAAGUACUCUGAAGAGAGAGUAAAUAGCACGUGAAGCCGGUUGCAGGGAAGCUGGUGGAGUCAAGCUUCAUGCUUGAGAAAUUUGUGCAAGUAACAUUGUGUUCAUUGUAUGCAUGGUCGGUCAACUUGGAAUAAGUUGGGUGCAUUCGUGUGCUCCGAGUCAUUCUGGGUAGUGUGUUUGGGCUGAUCAUGUAUUACUGUUGCUUGUACCCUAUUUCUCGUGGCAUAAAUCAGGGUCUAUAGCCUUGUUUGUUGACGUGCUGUAUGAUCGUCUAACUGUGCUAUGGCUGACUUUGUGUUUGUCUGGUACAGGAUGGCAGGUUGAGGCUUCAGUCCUUGUGAUUGUUAGUCUCUUAUAGUGGUUUUGACCAGCUGAUGUUCAUGCAGUAUCGUGGCUAUAGUUGUUCCGUUGUUAUACAGUUCUCAUCAACUGUGUAUCAGUAAGAACCCUGAUUCUGAGGUAGA
RNAcentral lists this ribosomal RNA (741 nucleotides) under Euryhaliotrema perezponcei. Its description in RNAcentral is "LSU rRNA". It matches the Rfam family "Eukaryotic large subunit ribosomal RNA", at positions 121 to 628 of the family's 3401-position model. Lineage: Eukaryota; Metazoa; Platyhelminthes; Monogenea; Dactylogyridea; Ancyrocephalidae. The record is from RNAcentral.